This 488-nucleotide ribosomal RNA is filed under the name uncultured bacterium. RNAcentral's name for it is "bacterial SSU rRNA". It matches the Rfam family "Bacterial small subunit ribosomal RNA", at positions 17 to 518 of the family's 1533-position model. The record is from RNAcentral.
UUCUGGCUCAGGACGAACGCUGGCGGCGUGCCUAACACAUGCAAGUCGAACGGACGAGGGGAGCUUGCUCCCCAAGUUAGUGGCGGACGGGUGAGUAACACGUGAGCAACCUGCCCUUCGGAGGGGGACAACAGCGGGAAACUGCUGCUAAUACCGCAUAAUGUAUCCUGGAGGCAUCUCCGGGAUACCAAAGAUUUUAUCGCCGAAGGAUGGGCUCGCGUCUGAUUAGAUAGUUGGUGGGGCAACGGCCCACCAAGUCUGCGAUCAGUAGCCGGACUGAGAGGUCGAACGGCCACAUUGGGACUGAGAUACGGCCCAGACUCCUACGGGAGGCAGCAGUGGGGAAUAUUGGGCAAUGGGGGCAAACCCCCUGACCCAGCAACGCCGCGUGGAGGAAGAAGGCUUUCGGGUUGUAAACUCCUUUGACGAGGGACGAUGAUGACGGUACCUCGAAAACAAGCCACGGCUAACUACGUGCCAGCAGCCGC